CCUACGGGUGGCAGCAGUGGGGAAUAUUGCGCAAUGGGCGAGAGUCUGAACCAGCCAAGUAGCGUGAAGGAUGACUGCCCUAUGGGUUGUAAACUUCUUUUAUAUGGGAAUAAAAUGUUCCACGUGUGGGAUUUUGUAUGUACCAUAUGAAUAAGGAUCGGCUAACUCCGUGCCAGCAGCCGCGGUAAUACGGAGGAUCCGAGCGUUAUCCGGAUUUAUUGGGUUUAAAGGGAGCGUAGGUGGAUUGUUAAGUCAGUUGUGAAAGUUUGCGGCUCAACCGUAAAAUUGCAGUUGAAACUGGCAGUCUUGAGUACAGUAGAGGUGGGCGGAAUUCGUGGUGUAGCGGUGAAAUGCUUAGAUAUCACGAAGAACUCCGAUUGCGAAGGCAGUUCACUGGACUGCAACUGACACUGAGGCUCGAAAGUGUGGGUAUCAAACAGGAUUAGAUACCCUGGUAGUC
RNAcentral lists this ribosomal RNA (460 nucleotides) under uncultured bacterium. Its description in RNAcentral is "partial 16S ribosomal RNA". It matches the Rfam family "Bacterial small subunit ribosomal RNA", at positions 338 to 795 of the family's 1533-position model. The record is from RNAcentral.